UGCUCUGCCUGACUGUAGCCGAGCGAUUUCAGUGACGCUACGUUUGGCACUUGCAUUUCGGACAUAGUUCAGGAGGCGUCUUACUUAGUUCCUGCAGUUUUAAAAGUGUGGCUUUAAUUAUAGGCUGGAGUCGUUGGUACGGGCAACAUUUUAAGGAGACGUAACUAAGCGGGGUCAGCUGGAAAAUGGGUCUCAGUCUUAGGGAAUUUGUCAUGUGCAGAAUUUCGCCAGCGUGCACUUUCAUGCACGUUUACCACAGACCUCGGUGGGUCCUCUGAUCUCCUGGCCGGAGCUGGCCUCGGCCUGCUGUGCCCUUCCGUAACCAGUCUGCAGCACCUUGGUUACUAGGUGCCCGUUUUUAAAAGGCUAUAUUUGAGGUCCAGUAGCUGGGUGGUCUUCAGGGGGUCGUGGGGGGUUCUGCAAACUUUCUCUCUGGUAGUUGUGUUCAUUGUGAGUGGGCAUCUAGUUUUGUGGUUACCUACAGAUAUGGGUUAAGUCUGGAAAACAGCCCAAGAAAGUGAUUCAGCCUGCAAGUGCCAGACUGCUGCCCACCAUAGGGGGGAAAGCUCCCAGAAGAAAGUCGUCUCCAUCCUUCUGUGUUACGGGCAGACAGCAGCGUAAGAAACGUGGAGUCCCUGCCGCCUUCAGUCAGAUUGCAUAACCCACUGGCCACCGCGCUCUCGCGUCCGGAGCCGCCAGGACCUUGCAGGGCUUGGCUGUUACCGCUCUGAGCACCGUUCGGGAGGAAGGUCGCAUGGAGGAAAACACCUCUUCCACAGCGGUACCGUGAUGGGGGCGGCUCUGAGAUGAGAGUGGCCGUCAGCCCUCUGCCCGUGUGGUCAGGGACGAGUGUCUUCUGUCCCAGUGCGCUUGGUCACUGCCGUGACGUCUGGGCUCCCGUUUCUUCAUCUCUCUCGGCAGCCCCAGCCCGGCCGCCCUGCUCUGUGGUGGGCUGCAAACUAUAGGUUUAACACACGGAAUCUUCCCGUUUACCCCAGCACCCGGGACCUGUGUUGUGCAGUGAGGAGAGGGGCUGAGGCCGCUGCAUCUUGGUGGGGGUGCCUCUGCUUGCACGGCAUUGGAGAAGGACAGGAGCCAGUGCCGCUGCCUUGGGAGACACACAGUGACCAGCAGCUCGUCCCACGUGGGGACUGGUUCAUGACCAUCAGAAACGGUGGAUGUGCAGGGACAGCCUGGGCCCGUUGGCGGGGGCGGCAGUUUGGGUCCCGGGGACAGCGAAAGCCCCUGGAGGUUUUCGUACCCCUUUAAGAACUGUUCAUCGGCACUGCCCGUGUUCCAGGACAGGGCGUUGGGGGACAUGAGCUCUGUGGCCACUGGGAUGGAGGUGCCGCUCAGAAGGUGGCUGAGAGUGAACUUGGAGGGAGCGAGCUCUGAUGAGAGAGUCGUCAGGCACAGGCAUGGGGAAAAUCUCGUCCUGGGGCUCCUGUGCCCUGAGUGCAAACAUCAUCGGUGCUUCUCUUUAUUCAGCCUACUUCCUGGCUGUGAUGGGCUGAAUUGUUUCCCCCAAGUCCACAGCGGGGAGCCCGGCCCCACGGCCCAUUCCAGCCCAAGUGUGUAUGUGCAGAUGAGUCUCUGAGGAGGUGAUGGAGGCAAAAUAAGGUACUGAUAUGGGCUCUACUCCGGUGUGAUUGGCUGGGACACAGACACACACGGAGGGAUGACCAUGUGAGGACAUGGGGAUGACAUGGCUGUCUGCACACCUUGGAGAGGCCUCGGGCGGGACCAGCCCGGCCGUGCCUGGAUCUGGGACGAGCGUGAAUGGGAAAGAAUAACUGUGUUGUCUGAGCCACCUGGUCUGGUGCUCUGUCAAGAACACUUGAGACAUCAGGGUGAUGUGGCCAGAGUCUGUGCUUGGACCCUGUUGGGGGAAGGUGGUCUCAGUCUAGCCCAAACAUUCUGAUUGUCUCCACUGACCCCGCAGACGACCCACUUGGCCCCAGGACGGCACGCCACACACUAGGGCUGUGUAGUCCACGACAAGCUUGGUGCUGGGGGGGUCUGCAGCAGGUGGGUGGGGGGAGGGCUGAGCUUGUCUGUCCUGCCCCUUGGCUGCACCAGCACUUGUCACUGCUCUUUCUCCUCCGUCAGCCCUGGAACAGCAGCUUGGUUUUAACGGUUAUGCAGGGAGCUCAUCUUUGGAUUUGUUAAUGUACAAAUAAAAAUGAAAAUUUCCCCAGCCCAGAGCCAGGGCCAGAAAUGUUA
Suricata suricatta (meerkat) is the source of this 2223-nucleotide long non-coding RNA. RefSeq lists it as uncharacterized. The transcript has 2 exons. The record is from RefSeq and is a predicted model, not a curated record. NCBI's taxonomy places the organism in Eukaryota, Metazoa, Chordata, Mammalia, Carnivora, Herpestidae.